GAUGAACGCUGGCGGCGUGCCUAAUACAUGCAAGUCGAGCGAACAGACGAGGAGCUUGCUCCUUCGACGUUAGCGGCGGACGGGUGAGUAACACGUAGGUAACCUACCUAUAAGACUGGGAUAACUUCGGGAAACCGGAGCUAAUACCGGAUAAUAUUUCGAACCGCAUGGUUCGAUAGUGAAAGAUGGCUUUGCCAUCACUUAUAGAUGGACCUGCGCCGUAUUAGCUAGUUGGUAAGGUAACGGCUUACCAAGGCAACGAUACGUAGCCGACCUGAGAGGGUGAUCGGCCACACUGGAACUGAGACACGGUCCAGACUCCUACGGGAGGCAGCAGUAGGGAAUCUUCCGCAAUGGGCGAAAGCCUGACGGAGCAACGCCGCGUGAGUGAUGAAGGUCUUCGGAUCGUAAAACUCUGUUAUUAGGGAAGAACAAACGUGUAAGUAACUGUGCACGUCUUGACGGUACCUAAUCAGAAAGCCACGGCUAACUACGUG
RNAcentral lists this ribosomal RNA (497 nucleotides) under uncultured bacterium. RNAcentral's name for it is "partial 16S ribosomal RNA". It matches the Rfam family "Bacterial small subunit ribosomal RNA", at positions 28 to 507 of the family's 1533-position model. The record is from RNAcentral.